CACGUAGGAGACAAGCGUUAUCCGGAUUUACUGGGUGUAAAGCGCGUGCAGGCGGUAGGAUAAGUUGGAUGUGAAAGCUCCUGGCUUAACUGGGAGAGGUCGUUCAAGACUGUCUUACUAGAGUGCAGCAGAGGGGAGUGGAAUUCCGAGUGUAGCGGUAAAAUGCAUAGAUAUUCGGAAGAACACCAGUGGCGAAGGCGGCUCUCUGGGCUGCAACUGACGCUCAGACGCGAAAGCUAGGGUAGCGAACGGGAUUAGAAACCCGUGUAGU
RNAcentral lists this ribosomal RNA (271 nucleotides) under uncultured bacterium. RNAcentral's name for it is "partial 16S ribosomal RNA". It matches the Rfam family "Bacterial small subunit ribosomal RNA", at positions 524 to 794 of the family's 1533-position model. The record is from RNAcentral.